This is a long non-coding RNA of Myripristis murdjan (pinecone soldierfish), 128 nucleotides long. RefSeq lists it as uncharacterized. The record is from RefSeq and is a predicted model, not a curated record. NCBI's taxonomy places the organism in Eukaryota, Metazoa, Chordata, Actinopteri, Holocentriformes, Holocentridae. The transcript is spliced from 3 exons.
UGGAUUUUGGUUGUUUUUUCAUUAACAUCGUAUGUAUGAAUUGCUCAGUGUCCAUAAAAGAAAGGAAUCAAGAAAAGGAAGAUGGAAAAGGUCUUUAGUCAUUAAUAUGGCUUUAAGAGAGCUCUACA